GAUGAACGCUAGCGGCAGGCUUAAUACAUGCAAGUCGAGGGGCAGCAGCUUUAUAGCAAUAUAGAGGCUGGCGACCGGCAAACGGGUGCGGAACACGUACACAACCUUCCUUUAAGAGGGGGAUAGCCCAUAGAAAUGUGGAUUAAUACCCCGUAACAUAUCGGUGUGGCAUCACACUGUUAUUAUAGUUUCGACGCUUGAAGAUGGGUGUGCGGCUGAUUAGGUAGUUGGCGGGGUAAAGGCCCACCAAGCCUUCGAUCAGUAGCUGAUGUGAGAGCAUGAUCAGCCACACGGGCACUGAGACACGGGCCCGACUCCUACGGGAGGCAGCAGUAAGGAAUAUUGGUCAAUGGACGCAAGUCUGAACCAGCCAUGCCGCGUGAAGGAUGAAGGUCCUCUGGAUUGUAAACUUCUUUUAUAGGGGGCGAAAAAAGGGAAUUCUUUCUCACUUGACAGUACCCUAUGAAUAAGCACCGGCUAACUCCGUGCCAGCCGCCGCAGUAA
This 504-nucleotide ribosomal RNA is filed under the name uncultured bacterium. RNAcentral describes it as "partial 16S ribosomal RNA". It matches the Rfam family "Bacterial small subunit ribosomal RNA", at positions 28 to 523 of the family's 1533-position model. The record is from RNAcentral.